CGUGUUCAUAGGUACCUCGUCGAUGGCUGUUCAUCCACAUCGGAGACAGCAAACCUGUGCCGGUGGCCUUGCAGCGUAGAGAGUCAAGAUUAACAUCGUCACUUACGCACCGAAACCGCAUUCAUAGGCAUGCCUAUGUUUGCAAACUUCACUUUGAGGAUAAAUUUAUCAAAGAUGAUAAAAGAGUGCCUUUCUCAUAGCCUACAUUAUUCUCAGAAGUGGAAAUAGCAUGUCGAAAACUCACUUGUCCUGUAACUGUCUCUGUCCGGACAGUGGGAGAUCAUACUUAUGCUGUAUCACUGCAGAUAAAUGCAGUGUUGGUGACCCGGAAUAGAAAGAGGACCACAGAACACAGACCACACACAUAAUAUUCAACAUAUCGACUGACAAAAAUAAAAGUGAUGUUGCUUAGUUUAACAUGCUCGAUGGUUUAACACGACAAUGUGACAUGAUAACGUGAUUUAAAGGUAUUUUCAAGGAUUUAGUG
Long non-coding RNA from Hyposmocoma kahamanoa, 487 nucleotides. RefSeq lists it as uncharacterized. The record is from RefSeq and is a predicted model, not a curated record. The transcript has 3 exons. NCBI's taxonomy places the organism in Eukaryota, Metazoa, Arthropoda, Insecta, Lepidoptera, Cosmopterigidae.